GUGAAUCAAAUUUCCCUGAGGCCGCGAGGUCGACGGGUGGGGUCGAGCCCUCGCGCUCGGCUCCGAAUCACAUCCAUAACACCUGUGAACUGUCUGUCAGGCCCAUCGGCUUCGGCCCCUGGACUUGCACCCUACAAACUUACUCUGUAACAAAUGUCGAAAAUUAUAAUCAAAUA
This 176-nucleotide unclassified non-coding RNA is filed under the name uncultured Tremellomycetes. RNAcentral's name for it is "sequence contains ITS1". Lineage: Eukaryota; Fungi; Basidiomycota; Tremellomycetes. The record is from RNAcentral.